UUACACUCACUCUCUUCCCUUGAUUCGGAGGUUCCUGUGGGACUGGAGCCUAUCUCACCGCUGGACUUGCGGACCGAUCUCAGGAUGAUGGUUCCCAUGGUGGACCCCAUUAUGCGCGAGAAGCAGCUGCAGCAGGAGCUGCUCCUGAUCCAGCAGCAGCAGCAAAUUCAGAAACAACUGCUCAUUGCAGAGUUCCAGAAGCAGCAUGAAAACCUGACCCGCCAGCAUCAGGCCCAGCUCCAGGAGCACAUUAAGUUACAACAGGAACUCCUAGCCAUUAAACAACAGCAAGAACUCCUUGAAAAAGAGCAGAAACUGGAGCAGCAAAGACAAGAGCAGGAACUGGAGAGGCAUCGCAGGGAGCAGCAGCUUCCUCCCCUCCGAGGCAAAGAAAGAGGACGAGAAAGGGCAGUUGCCAGUACAGAAGUGAAGCAGAAACUUCAAGAGUUCCUGUUAAGUAAAUCAGCUACAAAAGACUCUACAGCAAACGGGAAGAAUCAUUCCAUGAGCCGCCACCCCAAGCUCUGGUACACGGCUGCCCACCAUACCUCACUGGAUCAAAGCUCUCCACCCCUGAGUGGGGCCUCGCCACCAUACAAAUACACUUUACCAGGAGCACAGGAUGCUAAGGAUGACUUUCCACUUCGUAAAACGGCUUCAGAACCCAAUUUGAAGGUACGUUCAAGAUUAAAACAAAAGGUGACAGAAAGGAGAAGCAGUCCUUUACUCAGGAGGAAGGAUGGAAAUGUCAGUUCAUUCAAGAAGCGUCUUUUCGAGGUGACAGAAUCCUCAGUCAGUAGCAGCUCCCCUGGAUCAGGUCCCAGUUCCCCAAGCAACGGUCCGACCAGCAGUGCAACAGAAAAUGAAACCUCAGUUUUGUCGUCUAACAUUCAAGCUGAGCACCUGGUUUCCCAGCAACGCCUUUUGAUACAGGAUGAAUCAGUGAACUUGUUGAGUCUGUACACAUCCCCCUCUCUGCCCAACAUCACCUUGGGACUUCCAGCAAUACAACCUCAGAUCAGUGCUUCAUCAUCAUUCAAAGAAAAGCAGAAGGGGGAGACCCCGUCACUUAGACAAGGAGUGGCCUUGGCUGGACAGUAUGGAGGGAACCUUCCUCCGUCGUCAACUCAUCCUCACAUUGCUUUGGAGGGAAAGCCAAACAGCAGCCACCAAGCUCUCUUGCAGCAUCUGUUACUGAAAGAACAAAUGAGACAGCAAAAACUUCUUGUGACUGGAGCGGUUCCUCUUCAUCCACAGUCUCCUUUAGCAGCAAAGGAGAGAGUCUCACCUGGCGUAAGAGCUUCCCACAAACUGCCUCGUCACAGGCCACUGAACAGAACCCAGUCAGCUCCUCUUCCUCAGAGUACUUUGGCUCAGCUGGUCAUCCAGCAGCAACAUCAGCAAUUUUUGGAGAAGCAGAAACAGUACCAGCAGCAGAUCCACAUGAAUAAGAUGCUCUCUAAGUCCAUUGAGCAGCUCAAGCAGCCUGGCAGUCACCUGGAGGAAGCUGAAGAAGAGCUUCACGGAGAUCACUCGAUGCAGGAAGAGCGAGCUCCCACCAGUGGUGCCAACGUUAGGGCUGAGAGCAGCAGUGCUGGUGUGGAUGACAGAAUAGGACAGCAGGUGGGGGCUGUGAAAGUCAAAGAGGAGCCACUGGACAGUGAUGAGGAUGUUCAAACCCAGCAAAUGGAAUCUGGGGAGCAAGCUGCUUUUAUGCAACAGUUCCUGGCACAUCAGCAUGUCCACCAGUUGCAAAUCUACCAGGCUCAGAUGGCUACAGUUGGCACGGCAGGAUCAGAUAAACAUCGACCACUUUCCAGGACCCCAUCUUCCCCUGCUGACUCCACAUUACCUCACCCAGACAUGGACCAGCCCAGCCAGCACAUCUACACAACUGGUGUUGUGUAUGACAGUCUGAUGCUGAAGCACCAGUGCAUGUGUGGGAACUAUGCUAAUCACCCCGAACACGCUGGAAGAAUCCAAAGCAUCUGGUCAAGGCUGCAAGAAACUGGGUUGCUAAACAAGUGCGAGCGAAUUCGAGGUCGAAAAGCCAGUCUGGAGGAAAUACAGCUGGUUCACUCUGAACAUCAUUCACUGCUGUAUGGCACCAGCCCACUGAACAGACAGAAGCUGGACCCCAGGAAACUCCUAGGUCUGUACAGUUUAAAACACUUGGCAAGCACUGUGACAAAAAUUCACUUUUUCCAAAUCAAAAUACACCGGGGGUUCUGCUUUUUUAAUUCGAUUGCAAUUGCUGCCAAAUACUUGAGAGACAAGCUAAAUAUAGGCAAGAUAUUGAUUGUAGAUCUGGAUGUUCACCAUGGCAACGGUACACAGCAGGCUUUUUAUGCUGACCCCAGCAUCCUGUAUGUUUCCCUCCAUCGCUAUGAUGAAGGCAACUUCUUCCCUGGCAGUGGAGCCCCAAAUGAGGUUGGAAGUGGCCCUGGCGAAGGGUAUAACAUAAAUAUUGCUUGGACAGGUGGCUUGGAUCCUCCUAUGGGUGACGUUGAGUAUCUCACAGCAUUCAGGACUGUGAUUAUGCCAGCUGCCAACGAGUUUGAUCCAGAAAUUGUCCUGGUGUCAGCAGGAUUCGAUGCUGUGGAAGGCCACGACCCUCCGCUGGGCGGGUACAAAGUCACAGCGAAAUGUUUUGGCCACCUGACCAAGCAGUUGCUGAAGCUGGCGGGUGGCCGCGUGGUGCUGGCGCUGGAGGGAGGACAUGACCUUACUGCCAUCUGUGACGCCUCUGAAGCCUGUAUAAAUGCCCUUCUAGGAAAUGAGCUGGAACCUCUCCCGGAAGAUAUUGUGCACCAAAUCCCCAAUAUGAAUGCAAUAGCUUCUUUAAAAAAGACCACUGAAAUUCAAAGCAAGUACUGGAAGUCAGUGGAGCCAUACUCUGUGCCAGUGGAUUGUGCUCUGGCUGAGUCUCAGAAGCAAGAGAGGGAGGAAACAGAAACAGUAUCUGCUAUGGCCUCUCUUUCAGUGGAUGUUGAGCAGUGUAACAAGGCUUUCACUCCAGCCAAGUGA
Long non-coding RNA from Cyanoderma ruficeps (rufous-capped babbler), 3027 nucleotides. The record is from Ensembl. Lineage: Eukaryota; Metazoa; Chordata; Aves; Passeriformes; Timaliidae.